Non-coding RNA from Castor canadensis (American beaver), 626 nucleotides. The record is from RefSeq and is a predicted model, not a curated record. Lineage: Eukaryota; Metazoa; Chordata; Mammalia; Rodentia; Castoridae.
CCGCGGAGAGCUGAGAUAGAGCUCGCCUUGGCUUGCUGGCCAUGGCUGGAGCUCCUCCGAAGAGCCGGGGCGCCCACGCGAGAAUCCCUCACCUGGUCUCUCUUCAGUGAUGACGUCAUGGGCUUGUCCCCUGUCUUCAAGGACCACCUCCUCUGGAUGCCAAGCUGCUGCAAAGUGCCUUUCCACCUCAUGAGGGCCCAGGAGAACAGAUUCCUGGACCCCAUCAGCAUACAACGCAGCCACCAGAAGACCCCCAGGACCAGGAUGGUGAAGAACGAAGAGGAGCAGCCCUUACCGGCCAGCCCUCGCUUCUGGCUAAAGAUUUAAACUAGUGCCCUAGUGAGGGGGCAUUGGUUAUUACCCCCGAUCUUUGCUAUGCUUGUGCCUUGACCCUGAAUACUUCCCUGUGUUCUUUGCUUGUGUUCACCUGCCAGCAAACUGGAGUGCUUCCCUCCCCAAGGGGGAGGUCAGUCUUUGGUGACUGACCAGGUUGUCCUUACAGUGUCCUGAAUGGAAGGAUCCCUUUGGGAACCUCUCAGGAGGGGGACCUGGGCCAAGGGUCACCAGCAUCUAGCUGGCAAUUCCAGGGCCCUGGGUGGGCUUCUGGAAUGAGCAUGCGACUGACA